RNAcentral lists this ribosomal RNA (379 nucleotides) under uncultured prokaryote. Its description in RNAcentral is "partial 16S ribosomal RNA". The record is from RNAcentral.
CCCUACGGGGCGCAGCAGGCGGGAAGCACUCCCAACUAUUUCAGUGGUCAGCAGCGGGGCUAUUACUCCGGCGGCAGUUUCUCCGGCCGCUGGCACAGUACCGCCGAAUAUCCGGUCACCGUGGAGGUGCCCCGGAUCAAGAGCGGCUGUGGCGGUAUUGAUGUGUUCAUGGGGGGCUUCAGCUUCAUGAACACCGAUUACCUGGUCAACAAACUCCAAGCCAUCCUUGCGGGUGCCCCGGCUGUGGCCUUCGAUCUGGCUUUGAAAACCCUCUGUGAGCAGUGCUCGAACACCAUCAAGAACUGCGAGGCUCUAGCCGACAACCUCAACUCCAUGCAACUCGAUGAGUGUUCCGCCUCCAAGGAAUUGGCGGGAGGGC